RNAcentral lists this ribosomal RNA (512 nucleotides) under uncultured beta proteobacterium. RNAcentral describes it as "bacterial SSU rRNA". It matches the Rfam family "Bacterial small subunit ribosomal RNA", at positions 9 to 516 of the family's 1533-position model. Lineage: Bacteria; Pseudomonadati; Pseudomonadota; Betaproteobacteria. The record is from RNAcentral.
GAGUUUGAUCAUGGCUCAGAUUGAACGCUGGCGGAAUGCUUUACACAUGCAAGUCGAACGGCAGCACGGGGGCAACCCUGGUGGCGAGUGGCGAACGGGUGAGUAAUACAUCGGAACGUGCCCAGUCGUGGGGGAUAACGUAGCGAAAGCUACGCUAAUACCGCAUACGAACUCUGGUUGAAAGCGGGGGAUCGCAAGACCUCGCGCGAUUGGAGCGGCCGAUGGCAGAUUAGGUAGUUGGUGGGGUAAAGGCUCACCAAGCCGACGAUCUGUAGCUGGUCUGAGAGGACGACCAGCCACACUGGGACUGAGACACGGCCCAGACUCCUACGGGAGGCAGCAGUGGGGAAUUUUGGACAAUGGGCGCAAGCCUGAUCCAGCCAUUCCGCGUGCAGGAUGAAGGCCCUCGGGUUGUAAACUGCUUUUGUACGGAACGAAAAGGCUUUCUCUAAUACAGAGAGCUCAUGACGGUACCGUAAGAAUAAGCACCGGCUAACUACGUGCCAGCAGCC